RNAcentral lists this ribosomal RNA (300 nucleotides) under uncultured bacterium. RNAcentral's name for it is "bacterial SSU rRNA". It matches the Rfam family "Bacterial small subunit ribosomal RNA", at positions 30 to 326 of the family's 1533-position model. The record is from RNAcentral.
AUUGAACGCUGGCGGCGUGCUUAACACAUGCAAGUCGUGCGGUAACAGGCGUAGCAAUACGUGCUGACGAGCGGCGAACGGGUGCGUAAUACAUGGGAAUCUGCCUUUUAGUGGGGAAUAACCCGGCGAAAGCCGGGCUAAUGCCGCAUAAGAUCUUCGGAUGAAAGCGGGGGAGUCGUAAGACCUCGCGCUGAAAGAAUGAGCCCACUGCCGGAUUAGCUAGNGGUGAGGUAACGGCUCACCAAGGCGACGAUCCGUAGCUGGUCUGAGAGGACGGCCAGCCACACUGGGACUGAGACA